GACGAACGCUGGCGGCGUGCCUAAUACAUGCAAGUAGAACGCUGAAGGAGGAGCUUGCUCUUCUGGAUGAGUUGCGAACGGGUGAGUAACGCGUAGGUAACCUGCCUGGUAGCGGGGGAUAACUAUUGGAAACGAUAGCUAAUACCGCAUAAGGGUAGAUGUUGCAUGACAUUUACUUAAAAGGUGCAAUUGCAUCACUACCAGAUGGACCUGCGUUGUAUUAGCUAGUUGGUGGGGUAACGGCUUACCAAGGCGACGAUACAUAGCCGACCUGAGAGGGUGAUCGGCCACACUGGGACUGAGACACGGCCCAGACUCCUACGGGAGGCAGCAGUAGGGAAUCUUCGGCAAUAGACGGAAGUCUGACCGAGCAACGCCGCGUGAGUGAAGAAGGUUUUCGGAUCGUAAAGCUCUGUUGUAAGAGAAGAACGAGUGUGAGAGUGGAAAGUUCACACUGUGACGGUAUCUUACCAGAAAGGGACGGCUAACUACGUG
This 495-nucleotide ribosomal RNA is filed under the name uncultured bacterium. RNAcentral's name for it is "partial 16S ribosomal RNA". It matches the Rfam family "Bacterial small subunit ribosomal RNA", at positions 28 to 507 of the family's 1533-position model. The record is from RNAcentral.